CUUGACUGUAUCCUGGAAUUGGGUUCGGGCUUUUCUUGCGCAGUCUAGGUGGGAGGCUAUGAAGAUUUCCUUCCGGGGAAGUUGGAGCCAUCAGUGAGAGACCACUCUGGAGAGGCUAGAAUCCUAAUGGUGAUCCUUGAAUCAGAACACUUGACAGUUUCAGGUGGGCAGUUUUUCUGGGGCGGAAGCCUCAUAAAGGGUAACUGAGGCGCGCAAAGGUCCCCUCAGUCUGGACGGAAAUCAGACAUUGAGUGUAAAGGCAAAAGGGGGCUUGACUGCAAGACCUACAAGUCGAGCAGGAGCGAAAGCUGGCCUUAGUGAUCCGACGGUGCCGUGUGGAAGGGCCGUCGCUCAACGAAUAAAAGUUA
Molecule: ribosomal RNA, 368 nt
Filed under: uncultured organism
Description: bacterial LSU rRNA
Rfam family: Bacterial large subunit ribosomal RNA
Source: RNAcentral